This 72-nucleotide transfer RNA is filed under the name Camelus bactrianus (Bactrian camel). It matches the Rfam family "tRNA". Rfam says of the family: Transfer RNA (tRNA) molecules are approximately 80 nucleotides in length. The record is from Rfam by way of RNAcentral. RNAcentral also lists the same sequence under 2 other names. Lineage: Eukaryota; Metazoa; Chordata; Mammalia; Artiodactyla; Camelidae.
GCGGGUACAGCUCAGUGAUAAAGCAAAUUCUUAGCAUGCAUAAGGCCCUGGGUUCAAUCCCCAGUACCUCCA